Long non-coding RNA from Alosa alosa (allis shad), 528 nucleotides. RefSeq lists it as uncharacterized. The record is from RefSeq and is a predicted model, not a curated record. The transcript has 2 exons. Lineage: Eukaryota; Metazoa; Chordata; Actinopteri; Clupeiformes; Clupeidae.
AUAUGUUGUGAAUGGUUUGCCCUAUAUAUAGUGUUACCUGCUGUGUCCAUUGUUGAAUCUAUUAUCGCCCUAUUUCGCUUUAUCUGCUUUUUAGUGUCCAGGACACAGAUGAAGAGGAUGUUAGUAUGCGUUGUCGAGAGGAACUGCCCUACAGUGACUGGCCAUAGUGAAUAGUGGAACUCCACAGAACUUGCUGGACCACCAGUAUCGUUGUUGUGGCCACUGUACGUAUGUUUGUUGAUAUUAUUCAUGCUUGUUCCUUGUUCAUGCUUGUUCACAUUUUUUUUGUUCCACACUGUUCAUUUUUAUCUUAUGCCAGGUACCUUUAUUAUGAAUGUUGUCCUUCCUUUCAGCCCUGAUGCAUUCUGAAGCCUGAUGUAUGUGGAGGAUUUCUUUUUAUGUAUUAAUCACUUAUAAUAUUCCUCCCUGUUCCUUCACUUUGUUCUUGUUUUUCCAGUUAGAUACACACACACACACAUCUUGUUGUCUCACUCAGUAUUUUUUAUUAAACAAUAUUUGAUUCAUUUA